RNAcentral lists this ribosomal RNA (455 nucleotides) under uncultured bacterium. RNAcentral describes it as "bacterial SSU rRNA". It matches the Rfam family "Bacterial small subunit ribosomal RNA", at positions 30 to 524 of the family's 1533-position model. The record is from RNAcentral.
AUUGAACGCUGGCGGCAUGGCUAAAACAUGCAAGUCGAACGGACCCGCAAGGGUUAGUGGCGGAAGGGUGAGGAAUAGUAUCGAACGUACCCUGAGGUGGGAGAUAGGCAUGGGAAACUGUGCGUAAUACCCCAUGAUCUCGGAAGAGCAAAGGCGCAAGUCGCCUUGGGAGCGGCGAUAUUCCUAUCAGGUAGUUGGCGGGGUAAUGGCCCACCAAGCCGAAGACGGGUAGCAGGGUGUGAGAGCACGGCCUGCCACAUCGAGACUGAGACACUGCUCGGACUCCUACGGGAGGCUGCAGUAACGAAUAUUCCGCAAUGCACGAAAGUGUGACGGAGCAAUGCCGCGUGCAGGAUGAAAGCAGCUUCGCUGUGUAAACUGCUGUCAGGAGUUACUAACACUGAAGAACUCCAGAGGAAGGACCGGCGUAAUCUCGUGCCAGCAGCCGCGGUAAU